RNA transcript from Neopsephotus bourkii (Bourke's parrot), 3423 nucleotides. It is a transcript of the gene named chromosome unknown C7orf25 homolog, with no coding region annotated. The record is from RefSeq and is a predicted model, not a curated record. Lineage: Eukaryota; Metazoa; Chordata; Aves; Psittaciformes; Psittacidae. The transcript has 3 exons.
CAGAGGGCCGGACGCACGCCGAGGCGGAUGCGGUGCCUGUCCCCGCCCGGCGGCUCGGGGGAGGUGCUGGGCCGGGCUGAGCCGCGCCACGACGCCUCCUGCAGCUGCCCGGGACGAGGGCUGGUGCUGCCGGGCUGAAUAAUGUUUCCAACAUGUCUGUGCAGUCACUGCUUUGUGAAAGAAUUGCUCUUGCCAAAGAAUUGAUCAAGAGAGCAGAAGCCCUUUCCAGGUCCCAGAAAAGGAGAAUAGAAGGUGGGGCAAAACUGUGCAGCAAACUGAAGGCUGAGCUAAACUUCUUACACAAGGUAGAAGCAGGGAAGGUGGCCGUUAAAGAAUCCCAUCUGCAAAGUACAAACCUUACCCAUCUCCAGGCCAUUAUUCAGUCAGCGGAGAACCUGGAGGAUGUUGUCAGUGUCCUCCAUGUCUUUGCUUAUGAGGACAGGUUUGGAGACAAGCAGACGCUCAUGGUGGAUGUUGUUGCAAAUGGAGGUCACACAUGGGUGAAGGCCAUCGGCCGUAAGGCUGAGGCUCUGCAUAACAUCUGGCUGGGGAGAGGCCAGUAUGGUGACAAAAGCAUCAUUGAGCAGGCAGAGGACUUCUUGCAAGCCAGCCAUCAGCAGCCAGUGGAGUACAGCAAUCCCCACAUAAUCUUUGCCUUCUACAACAGCGUGUCCAGUCCUAUGGCAGAGCGGCUCCAGGAGAUGGGAAUAUCUGUGCGAGGAGACAUUGUAGCUGUGAACUCACUGGCAGAGCCAUCCACAGAACACCAGCACCUUAGCACCAGUGAAUCGGAUGAGGAAGGCCCCGAACUCCUACAGGUGACCAGAGUAGACCGGGAGAAUUUAGUGGCCAGAGUUGCUUUUCCUACUCAGAUUAAAGUAAACGUGUGCAAUAGAGUUAACUUGGACAUCACUACCUUAAUAACCUAUGUCUCUGCUCUGAGCUAUGGUGGCUGUAACUUCAUCUUCAAAGAGAAAGUGCUAACAGAGCAAGCGGCUCAGGAAAGGAGGGAGAGAGUCCUGCCUCACCUGGAGGAGUUCAUGGAGGGGAAGGAGCUCUUUGCCUGUGAGUCUGCUGUCAGAGAUUUUCAGUCCAUCUUGGAAACGCUGGGAGGACCUGGGGAGAAAGAACGAGCUGCGAUGCUUGUGAAAAGAAUUCAAGUGGUGCAAGAUCAGCCAUCUGACCGUGCCUUAGGACUAGUGGCUAGUUCAAAAAUCAACAACCGUUCUCUAACCAUUUUUGGGACAGGAGACACUUUAAAAGCCGUCACCAUGACCGCAAAUAGCGGUUUUGUGAGGGCAGCAGCUAACCAAGGUGUCAGGUUCAGUGUUUUUGUCCAUCAGCCACGGGCAUUGACAGAAAGCAAGGAAUCUGUUGCCACACCUUUACCAAAGAGCUGCCCACCUGGUAAUGGACUAUAAGUCAUUGAAUGAGUCAUUGGAAUGCUGUAGGGGAGGCAUUUGGGGAAACAAGAAUCCUAGCAAUACAUUUUUGGGUGUGUGUCAGUGAAAGCAGUGACUGUUGCAGUGGAAGGGCUCCUCAAGGAAUUUGCAGUAUCUUUACUCAGCCCUUGGGGGAUAUUUUAUUCAGCUGACCAUUAAUUUAUUCGCUAAGAUGUUCUACAUGACCUUGAGAGAGCUGGAUAGGGCUGAUUCUGCACUGGAAGUCAAUGGACCAUAUUCUACAAAGAGAUGAGGACUGAAACUGCAUCCUUCCUGUGCCUCCUGUCUCUUCACUUGUAACAAGAGGCUAACAGCAUGCUCCUUCCUCCUCGGGGUGCAGCAAAGCUAAAUCACAUGGUAUUUGCAACGAUGCUACUAUCAGGAACUGUGGGCUACUUCUGCUUGAAUCUGUGGAGACCCCUAAGAGCAAAGUCUUUGCUCUGCUUGUGGAUUACCCAGCAGAGGGCAACAUCACUCUCGCGCAUGAAAACUGCAUCCCCUGCUUGAGCCAAAACCUGCCAAACGCAAGAGGAAUCUUUUCCUUGGCCUUUAUAGCUCUUUAUAAAUGCAGAUCUUUACUGUUUCUCAAUAUUAGCCGUGCAAUGAAACAGCAGUGUGUGAGCACUCCCAUGGCACUGUUAGCGGCUAGCCUUAGAAAAACAAAGCUUCAAAACCUUCCAGCGCUGGCCAGAAACACAAUAGUCAUUUUUAUUUUGUUAGUGGUUGAUACAGUGCUAAUAUCCAUAACAGCAGUAACUGUGUGGUGCUUUGAGUGCUGUAUGGCUUUGGUUAACUUCUGUCAUUCUUAUCUAUUUAUUUCAUAGUUGAUCUAAGGGUGUCUGAGGUGCAUGUAGCAGGACCUGGAAAAGAAAGAGACCAGGUGGAUCCUGACCUCAUGGAAGUCAAUGGCAGCAAUUUUCUUUCAUUUUCAUGGGAUCAGAACUGCACCUGAUCUUUCCCUUGUAGCUCAUGGCUGUCAAGGUCCUUCUGGACGGACCCAUAUUGUGGUGCUUAAGCUCUUGCCCAGCUCUUAUGGAUCGACCCUGGAACUCGCUGAUGACUUUGCCUCAUCUGAGGCUGUUGAUGGGAUUUAUUGCUAUGACCACCUGGCUCUGCCCCAUGAUCAGACCCUGCAGGACUGCACCCUGUCAGUGAAGGCACAGCUUGUGCUGGGUCACCUGUGGGUCAUGGCACAGCCUUGCUCCUGCUGCUCCCUGACACUGCUCCUUGCAGAGACUGAAUUUAUGCCCUGUGAGAAAUCCCCAAGGAGAAAUUCAGAUCAAACCAUUUAGAGUGAUCGAAGUGAACAAGGGGGUUACAAUAAAUCUUUGCAGGAUCCCAGGUCUCUAAUGUCAAAACGUGCAAUCCUGGAAACAGAAACAGUUGUAUGCAGCUCAACUGAGUGGUAAUGAAGCUCUUGCAUCCACAGGAAGCUGCCCUGUUAGACAUCCAGAUCUACUAAAGAAAAGGCUAGUCCUCAGCCUUGUGCAGAACAACUUAAAAAGUUAGCACUUGAGGUCAAAAGAAUAAGAAUUGAAACCAAAAAUAUCCAGACGAUCCCACUUCCCUUUAUAGUGCUUGGAAUUUAGGAAAUCAAGUGGAUUGCAAGCUAACUUCAUGAUUUAUUGCAGUUUAUUUCCUGAUGCUUGAAUGCCUGUGACUACCCAAACAUGGGAGAUGACAGGUAGUGAUAUUUUUUGUUCACUGUGAGGCAAAAGGGGCAAACUUCAGUGGGUUUUCUAUUGAGCUUCAUGUAUCCACACAAUGAACGCGUAGGAACACUGGUAUUUAAAUCUGAAAUCCUGGUGGGGAAGCAGCUCUCCCCAGAGUACUUAUCUGUAGACUAACAAUUUCUUCACAUUUUAUAUUCUCUUUCUUUUUUUUUUCUCAUUUAUUCUUUAAGAAGUACAAUCCUCAGAAUGACUGGGAAUUUCUUCGAGAUGUUGUUAAUACCAGAUGCAAAUACACAUGUAAAAACUCA